UCCGUCAUCGUCUAGUGGUUAGGAUGUGGCCCUCUCACGGCCGAGGCCGGGGUUCGAUUCCCCGUGACGGAG
RNAcentral lists this transfer RNA (72 nucleotides) under Amphiamblys sp. WSBS2006. It matches the Rfam family "tRNA". Rfam says of the family: Transfer RNA (tRNA) molecules are approximately 80 nucleotides in length. Their secondary structure includes four short double-helical elements and three loops (D, anti-codon, and T loops). The record is from Rfam by way of RNAcentral. Lineage: Eukaryota; Fungi; Microsporidia; Amphiacanthidae.